RNAcentral lists this ribosomal RNA (537 nucleotides) under uncultured bacterium. RNAcentral's name for it is "bacterial SSU rRNA". It matches the Rfam family "Bacterial small subunit ribosomal RNA", at positions 102 to 674 of the family's 1533-position model. The record is from RNAcentral.
ACGAGUGAGUAACGCGUGGGAACGUGCCUUUCGGUUCGGAAUAACUCAGGGAAACUUGAGCUAAUACCGGAUACGCCCUUCGGGGGAAAGAUUUAUUGCCGAAAGAUCGGCCCGCGUCCGAUUAGCUAGUUGGUGAGGUAACGGCUCACCAAGGCGACGAUCGGUAGCUGGUCUGAGAGGAUGAUCAGCCACACUGGGACUGAGACACGGCCCAGACUCCUACGGGAGGCAGCAGUGGGGAAUAUUGGACAAUGGGCGCAAGCCUGAUCCAGCCAUGCCGCGUGAGUGAUGAAGGCCCUAGGGUUGUAAAGCUCUUUCGCCAGGGACGAUAAUGACGGUACCUGGAUAAGAAGCCCCGGCUAACUUCGUGCCAGCAGCCGCGGUAAUACGAAGGGGGCUAGCGUUGUUCGGAAUCACUGGGCGUAAAGCGCACGUAGGCGGAUCUUUAAGUCAGGGGUGAAAUCCCGAGGCUCAACCUCGGAACUGCCUUUGAUACUGGAGGUCUAGAGUCCGGGAGAGGUGAGUGGAACUGCGAGU